GGCUUCAAAGGGAAUGCCUUCGAGUGAGAUCUGAGAAGUGCGAUUGGAUGGAGCUGCUGUUGCGGUGGAAGAUAAGUUUCGAGUGCAGCGCAAUCAACCCAAAGUAUUUCAAUCGUGAUAAGAUCUGGUUAGUUUUGCGGUGUGCUGCUGCUUGCCGCUUUCCGGAGGUCGGGCCUGUCUUGCAGCCAGAACGCGUCUGUUGGCUCUGUCGCCCGGUCGAUCGUUCGUUGUGCUCUGCUCCAGUACCUACGAUUGGAAUUGUUGCCCACGGGAGAUGCCGAUGAUACCGAGUUCAACUUCAGAGAUUGCUUAUUUGGGUGGCAAAACAGACGUUCGGUCAGUUGAACAUACAUCACUCAAAUGUGAUUAAAGUUGUCCAAAUAGUACGAUGCGGAAAAAGGUAAUCAAAUCGGCCCCAACAGAAAUCAAAACACAACAAAACUGUACCCCCACCAGGUAAGCCACCCACGACUAUGUUGGGUCGUUUCGAAUGUCUUCCAAACAGCAAUGCCUACUCGGUCGAAGCGUGUUCCUCAGCUCAUCGGUUAGCCGCCGACGGCGGUAACGAUUCAUUAAAAAAUCACACAUUUGCUCAUCGACCGCCCGGUGCUACC
This is a long non-coding RNA of Armigeres subalbatus, 614 nucleotides long. RefSeq lists it as uncharacterized. NCBI's taxonomy places the organism in Eukaryota, Metazoa, Arthropoda, Insecta, Diptera, Culicidae. The transcript is spliced from 3 exons. The record is from RefSeq and is a predicted model, not a curated record.